This 254-nucleotide ribosomal RNA is filed under the name uncultured bacterium. Its description in RNAcentral is "partial 16S ribosomal RNA". It matches the Rfam family "Bacterial small subunit ribosomal RNA", at positions 524 to 777 of the family's 1533-position model. The record is from RNAcentral.
UACGUAGGGGGCAAGCGUUGUCCGGAUUUACUGGGCGUAAAGCGCGCGUAGGCGGCUAAUUAAGUCAAAUGUGAAAUCCCCGAGCUUAACUUGGGAAUUGCAUUCGAUACUGGUUAGCUAGAGUGUGGGAGAGGAUGGUAGAAUUCCAGGUGUAGCGGUGAAAUGCGUAGAGAUCUGGAGGAAUACCGAUGGCGAAGGCAGCCAUCUGGCCUAACACUGACGCUGAGGUGCGAAAGCAUGGGGAGCAAACAGGG